This 2208-nucleotide ribosomal RNA is filed under the name Klebsiella pneumoniae. RNAcentral's name for it is "partial 23S ribosomal RNA". It matches the Rfam family "Bacterial large subunit ribosomal RNA", at positions 1 to 2236 of the family's 2925-position model. Lineage: Bacteria; Pseudomonadati; Pseudomonadota; Gammaproteobacteria; Enterobacterales; Enterobacteriaceae. The record is from RNAcentral.
GGUUAAGCGACUAAGCGUACACGGUGGAUGCCCUGGCAGUCAGAGGCGAUGAAGGACGUGCUAAUCUGCGAAAAGCGUCGGUAAGGUGAUAUGAACCGUUAUAACCGGCGAUGUCCGAAUGGGGAAACCCAGUGCAAUUCGUUGCACUAUCGUUAACUGAAUACAUAGGUUAACGAGGCGAACCGGGGGAACUGAAACAUCUAAGUACCCCGAGGAAAAGAAAUCAACCGAGAUUCCCCCAGUAGCGGCGAGCGAACGGGGAGCAGCCCAGAGUCUGAAUCAGCUUGUGUGUUAGUGGAACGGUCUGGAAAGUCCGACGGUACAGGGUGAUAGUCCCGUACACCAAAAUGCACAGGUUGUGAACUCGAAGAGUAGGGCGGGACACGUGGUAUCCUGUCUGAAUAUGGGGGGACCAUCCUCCAAGGCUAAAUACUCCUGACUGACCGAUAGUGAACCAGUACCGUGAGGGAAAGGCGAAAAGAACCCCGGCGAGGGGAGUGAAAAAGAACCUGAAACCGUGUACGUACAAGCAGUGGGAGCACCUUCGGGUGUGACUGCGUACCUUUUGUAUAAUGGGUCAGCGACUUAUAUUCUGUAGCAAGGUUAACCGUAUAGGGGAGCCGCAGGGAAACCGAGUCUUAACUGGGCGUUAAGUUGCAGGGUAUAGACCCGAAACCCGGUGAUCUAGCCAUGGGCAGGUUGAAGGUUGGGUAACACUAACUGGAGGACCGAACCGACUAAUGUUGAAAAAUUAGCGGAUGACUUGUGGCUGGGGGUGAAAGGCCAAUCAAACCGGGAGAUAGCUGGUUCUCCCCGAAAGCUAUUUAGGUAGCGCCUCGUGAACUCAUCUUCGGGGGUAGAGCACUGUUUCGGCUAGGGGGUCAUCCCGACUUACCAACCCGAUGCAAACUACGAAUACCGAAGAAUGUUAUCACGGGAGACACACGGCGGGUGCUAACGUCCGUCGUGAAGAGGGAAACAACCCAGACCGCCAGCUAAGGUCCCAAAGUCAUGGUUAAGUGGGAAACGAUGUGGGAAGGCACAGACAGCCAGGAUGUUGGCUUAGAAGCAGCCAUCAUUUAAAGAAAGCGUAAUAGCUCACUGGUCGAGUCGGCCUGCGCGGAAGAUGUAACGGGGCUAAACCAUGCACCGAAGCUGCGGCAGCGACACUAUGUGUUGUUGGGUAGGGGAGCGUUCUGUAAGCCUGCGAAGGUGUGCUGUGAGGCAUGCUGGAGGUAUCAGAAGUGCGAAUGCUGACAUAAGUAACGAUAAAGCGGGUGAAAAGCCCGCUCGCCGGAAGACCAAGGGUUCCUGUCCAACGUUAAUCGGGGCAGGGUGAGUCGACCCCUAAGGCGAGGCCGAAAGGCGUAGUCGAUGGGAAACAGGUUAAUAUUCCUGUACUUGGUGUUACUGCGAAGGGGGGACGGAGAAGGCUAUGUUAGCCGGGCGACGGUUGUCCCGGUUUAAGCAUGUAGGCUGAUUGUCCAGGCAAAUCCGGAUAAUCAAGGCUGAGGUGUGAUGACGAGGCACUACGGUGCUGAAGUAACAAAUGCCCUGCUUCCAGGAAAAGCCUCUAAGCAUCAGGUAACAUCAAAUCGUACCCCAAACCGACACAGGUGGUCAGGUAGAGAAUACCAAGGCGCUUGAGAGAACUCGGGUGAAGGAACUAGGCAAAAUGGUGCCGUAACUUCGGGAGAAGGCACGCUGGUGUGUAGGUGAAGUCCCUGCGGAUGGAGCUGAGACCAGUCGAAGAUACCAGCUGGCUGCAACUGUUUAUUAAAAACACAGCACUGUGCAAACACGAAAGUGGACGUAUACGGUGUGACGCCUGCCCGGUGCCGGAAGGUUAAUUGAUGGGGUUAUCCGUAAGGAGAAGCUCUUGAUCGAAGCCCCGGUAAACGGCGGCCGUAACUAUAACGGUCCUAAGGUAGCGAAAUUCCUUGUCGGGUAAGUUCCGACCUGCACGAAUGGCGUAAUGAUGGCCAGGCUGUCUCCACCCGAGACUCAGUGAAAUUGAACUCGCUGUGAAGAUGCAGUGUACCCGCGGCAAGACGGAAAGACCCCGUGAACCUUUACUAUAGCUUGACACUGAACAUUGAGCCUUGAUGUGUAGGAUAGGUGGGAGGCUUUGAAGCGUGGACGCCAGUCUGCGUGGAGCCAACCUUGAAAUACCACCCUUUAAUGUUUGAUGUUCUAACGUUGGCCCCU